RNAcentral lists this ribosomal RNA (454 nucleotides) under uncultured bacterium. RNAcentral describes it as "bacterial SSU rRNA". It matches the Rfam family "Bacterial small subunit ribosomal RNA", at positions 340 to 786 of the family's 1533-position model. The record is from RNAcentral.
UACGGAAGGCAGCAGUGGGGAAUAUUGCACAAUGGGCGCAAGCCUGAUGCAGCCAUGCCGCGUGUAUGAAGAAGGCCUUCGGGUUGUAAAGUACUUUCAGUCGUGAGGAAGGUGUUAAGGUUAAUAACCUUAGCAAUUGACGUUAGCGACAGAAGAAGCACCGGCUAACUCCGUGCCAGCAGCCGCGGUAAUACGGAGGGUGCGAGCGUUAAUCGGAAUUACUGGGCGUAAAGGGCACGCAGGCGGUUAAUUAAGUUGGAUGUGAAAUCCCCGGGCUUAACCUGGGAAUGGCAUUCAAGACUGGUUAGCUAGAGUCUUGUAGAGGGGGUAGAAUUCCGAUGUGUAGCGGUGAAAUGCGUAGAGAUGUGGAGGAAUACCGGUGGCGAAGGCGGCCCCUGGGACAAGACUGACGCUCAUGUGCGAAAGCGUGGGGAGCGAAACAGGAUUAGAUACC